RNAcentral lists this long non-coding RNA (351 nucleotides) under Trifolium pratense (red clover). RNAcentral's name for it is "long non-coding RNA (TPRA_LNC005661)". Lineage: Eukaryota; Viridiplantae; Streptophyta; Magnoliopsida; Fabales; Fabaceae. The record is from RNAcentral.
UCAGAUAGUCCAAAAUCAAUUCGAAAAAUUGAUACGGAUAAUACAGUGACAUCGGCACAGUGGAGACAAACUUAAAUUAGUGAACCAACAGAUCUUAACAGACCUAAAAAAUUCAGAAAAUAAAAGACCGAGAGUAUCAACGANNNNNNUUGAACUGCGAACCAUAACAGCCACAACCACCACCACGAGGGAGGCAAUGGUGGUUGAAGCAAAACUUCUUGAACUAGAAGCAGAACCCACCGACCAAACUAGAACAUCGUCGAAAAGCACACUUGUGGCAGUAAGAAUUUGGCUUCUGUUUAAACAAUCCCAAAAGGGUUUUGAAAGGUGAUGACGUGGCAUAUAUAACAG